Molecule: long non-coding RNA, 639 nt
Filed under: Pan paniscus (pygmy chimpanzee)
Lineage: Eukaryota; Metazoa; Chordata; Mammalia; Primates; Hominidae
Description: lncRNA (ENSPPAG00000044337.1)
Source: RNAcentral
AGUGGACGGUGAUCUUUUUUCCUAUCCAGGCAGAGUACCUAGGGACAGCUAUGAAUUCUGCAAAUGCAACGAGAGGGGACAAACACGACAAAGAGGCAGCAUGACCAGGCCACUAAACAGAUCUGAAGCCAAUCCCUGAGCCUCCUGGGCCAUACACUGUCCCACUAUUUCAAAAGAAACUCAGUGACGAGAGGGCAGAGGGAGAAUAUGUCCAGCAUCUCAGCCUCAUUGUUUUCCACUUGGCAGCCCCCUCCAGUUCAGGAUUCACUUGAAGAAGCCCACAGGGACGGGUGACACUGAGGAAACAAAACCCAGGCCCCCCGGCCUCCGACUGAGCCGUGCAGAGCAUGCUGGGAGAUCACCUCCACCUGAGGAGCACAAAAGACCCCAGGAGUGGAGGAAGCUGGCCUGAGGCCAACCGGAUGUAACAGACUUGCUGGGCCCAAGGAGGGAGGUCUGGUGAUGGAGCCUCGAGUACAUAUCCUUCCAAUCCUAAGAGAGAACACUGAAGCCCUUCAAGAUUUUAAAUUCUCCGAGAAGUCUUCAAAGGUCUACUUUGACUGUAGUAGAAGAGUGACUGGUAUCUUCGGAAUGGUUUUGAAGUUCAGUGAGAUGAGCCUGAUGGACUUGAAUUACUGA